This 341-nucleotide long non-coding RNA is filed under the name Nicotiana benthamiana. RNAcentral describes it as "long non-coding RNA (NBEN_LNC042358)". Lineage: Eukaryota; Viridiplantae; Streptophyta; Magnoliopsida; Solanales; Solanaceae. The record is from RNAcentral.
GAUUAAUCGACGCAUGAGAGGUGGCCGGUUUGGGACGUAGCCACCGUAUGGGUACUGGCCGAAAUUCAGCGAAGCAUGUUGAGCUGAAGCUAACCAGAUGAGGGUGGUAAGGAUCGAAGUGAGAUCCUCUGGACUAGCUAACGUGGGCCACCACUCUUCAUUGCGGAGGUCUGCAUGGCCCACGUUAAUGGACUCAGCAUACCAGGCUUGGAGUUCUCUGUCAUUGCAAACUUGGGCCGAGUCCGGGUAGUAGUGAUUUACAUAGCUGCGAACCCAGCCCUCUAUUGCCGCCCAUAUCAUGAGCCCAUCUGCCGCAUAGGGAUAAUCCUCGAUUAGAAGUU